RNAcentral lists this ribosomal RNA (482 nucleotides) under Streptococcus mitis. RNAcentral's name for it is "bacterial SSU rRNA". It matches the Rfam family "Bacterial small subunit ribosomal RNA", at positions 28 to 496 of the family's 1533-position model. Lineage: Bacteria; Bacillati; Bacillota; Bacilli; Lactobacillales; Streptococcaceae. The record is from RNAcentral.
GACGAACGCUGGCGGCGUGCCUAAUACAUGCAAGUAGAACGCUGAAGGAGGAGCUUGCUUCUCUGGAUGAGUUGCGAACGGGUGAGUAACGCGUAGGUAACCUGCCUGGUAGCGGGGGAUAACUAUUGGAAACGAUAGCUAAUACCGCAUAAGAGUAGAUGUUGCAUGACAUUUGCUUAAAAGGUGCAAUUGCAUCACUACCAGAUGGACCUGCGUUGUAUUAGCUAGUUGGUGGGGUAACGGCUCACCAAGGCGACGAUACAUAGCCGACCUGAGAGGGUGAUCGGCCACACUGGGACUGCGACACGGCCCAGACUCCUACGGGAGGCAGCAGUAGGGAAUCUUCGGCAAUGGACGGAAGUCUGACCGAGCAACGCCGCGUGAGUGAAGAAGGUUUUCGGAUCGUAAAGCUCUGUUGUAAGAGAAGAACGAGUGUGAGAGUGGAAAGUUCACGCUGUGACGUAUCUACCAGAAAGGACGCA